This 180-nucleotide small nucleolar RNA is filed under the name Mesitornis unicolor (brown roatelo). Its description in RNAcentral is "Small Cajal body specific RNA 16". It matches the Rfam family "Small Cajal body specific RNA 16". From Rfam's summary of the family: scaRNAs are a specific class of small nuclear RNAs which localise to the Cajal bodies and guide the modification of RNA polymerase II transcribed spliceosomal RNAs U1, U2, U4, U5 and U12. ACA47 belongs to the H/ACA box class of guide RNAs as it has the predicted hairpin-hinge-hairpin-tail structure, the conserved H/ACA-box motifs and is found associated with GAR1. ACA47 is predicted to guide the pseudouridylation of residue U5 of the U1 spliceosomal snRNA. The record is from Rfam by way of RNAcentral. Lineage: Eukaryota; Metazoa; Chordata; Aves; Mesitornithiformes; Mesitornithidae.
CAGGGCUGGGGAAGGGCUGCUGGGCGGUGGGGCCAGCAGGCCCAGCCUCAUACCAGCCAGCCUCACCCAUGCCCAAGAUCAACUCCCAGGCGGGCUCCGUGCUGGGCUUCAUCCAGUGCAGUAACAGGUGUGAGCAUCUAUGCAGCAUUUUGAUGGUCAUGUAUGAUACUGCAUACAACA